AGCUUUGCACAGUGGCAGUAUCAUAGCCAGUGAAGUUUAUCCAAGACAAGAUUUUUGCUAAUUGAAAAUUUAGUUUUCAAUAA
Molecule: small nuclear RNA, 83 nt
Filed under: Pteropus vampyrus (large flying fox)
Lineage: Eukaryota; Metazoa; Chordata; Mammalia; Chiroptera; Pteropodidae
Description: U4 spliceosomal RNA (ENSPVAG00000024427.1)
Rfam family: U4 spliceosomal RNA
About the family: U4 small nuclear RNA (U4 snRNA) is a component of the major U2-dependent spliceosome. The structure of U4 snRNA from yeast and human has been reported. U4 snRNA presents a k-turn RNA motif in the 5p-SL related to recognition of Snu13 protein.
Source: RNAcentral